Molecule: ribosomal RNA, 253 nt
Filed under: uncultured bacterium
Lineage: Bacteria
Description: partial 16S ribosomal RNA
Rfam family: Bacterial small subunit ribosomal RNA
Source: RNAcentral
UACGUAGGUGGCAAGCGUUGUCCGGAAUUACUGGGCGUAAAGGGCGUGUAGGCGGCGAUUUCAGUCAGAUGUGAAAGAUCAGGGCUUAACCCUGGAGGUGCAUUUGAGACUGGAUGGCUUGAGGACCGGAGAGGGCAGUGGAAUUCCCAGUGUAGCGGUGAAAUGCGUAGAUAUUGGGAGGAACACCAGUGGCGAAGGCGACUGCCUGGACGGCACCUGACGCUGAGGCGCGAAAGCUAGGGGAGCAAACGGG